Molecule: ribosomal RNA, 85 nt
Filed under: Acinetobacter baumannii
Lineage: Bacteria; Pseudomonadati; Pseudomonadota; Gammaproteobacteria; Moraxellales; Moraxellaceae
Description: partial 23S ribosomal RNA
Rfam family: Bacterial large subunit ribosomal RNA
Source: RNAcentral
GAGACUAGGACGUUGAUAGGUUGGAUGUGGAAGCAUAGUGAUAUGUGAAGCUGACCAAUACUAAUUGCUCGUGAGGCUUGACUAU